AGAGUUUGAUCCUGGCUCAGGAUGAACGCUAGCGGAACGCCUAACACAUGCAAGUCGAACGCUUUGUAGCAAUACAAGGAGUGGCAAACGAGCGAGUAACGCGUACUUAAUCUGCCCAAAAGUUGAGAACAACUAUAGAGAUGUAGCUAAUUCUCAAUAUGCUCACGAUGGUGAAAUCCCGAUGUGAGGAAAGAUUUAUCGCUUUUGGAGGAGGGUGCGUCCUAUCAUGGUAGUUGGUGAGGUAAUAGCUUACCAAGCCUUUGACGGGUAGCCGGUCUGAGAUGAUGUCCGGCCGCGAUGGAACUGAGAUACGGUCCAUACUCCUACGGGAGGCAGCAGUGGGGAAUCUUGCACAAUGGGCGAAAGCCUGAUGCAGCGAUUCCGCGUGGAGGAUGAAGCAUUACGGUGUGUAAACUCCUUUUUUGGUGGAAGACGAAUGACGGUACACCAAGAAUAAGGGACGGCUAACUACGUGCCAGCAGCCGCGGUAAUACGUAGGUCCCAAGCGUUAUCCGGAAUCAUUGGGCGUAAAGCGUUUGUAGGUGGACUGUUAAGUUGGGUGUUAAAUUUUGCAGCUCAACUGCAAAAUUGUGCUCAAAACUGGCAGACUAGAGUACUGCAGAGGUACGUGGAAUUCUGUGUGUAGGGGUAAAAUCCGUAGAUACACAGAGGAACACCAAAAGCGAAAGCAGCGUACUGGGCAGUUACUGACACUCAAAAACGAAAGCGUGGGGAGCAAACGGGAUUAGAUACCCCGGUAGUCCACGCCCUAAACGAUGGAUACUAGGUGUUGGGGGACUCGACCCCCUCAGUGCCGACGUUAACACAUUAAGUAUCCCGCCUGGGGAGUACGGUCGCAAGAUUAA
RNAcentral lists this ribosomal RNA (866 nucleotides) under uncultured bacterium. Its description in RNAcentral is "bacterial SSU rRNA". It matches the Rfam family "Bacterial small subunit ribosomal RNA", at positions 8 to 897 of the family's 1533-position model. The record is from RNAcentral.